GGCGCACGCCACAUGGCUGAUUACCAAGCCAAGAUGAAAGUGGUGGUGGCCGCAUCAAAGGAGAAGGUGCAACAAGACGAACCGAAAGCUGCUAUCUCAGAUGUGAAAUGUGACAACCCAAAAGAGGAGGGCAAUGUGCAGCAAACCAAAAGUUGUUGCCUCAGAUGUGAAAUGUGAUGACCUAGAGCAGGAGGAAGAUUCCAAUAAAAAUGGGGAACU
Long non-coding RNA from Zea mays, 219 nucleotides. RefSeq lists it as uncharacterized. Lineage: Eukaryota; Viridiplantae; Streptophyta; Magnoliopsida; Poales; Poaceae. The record is from RefSeq and is a predicted model, not a curated record. The transcript is spliced from 4 exons.